UGGAAAUGUGCCCGAAAGAUAAGGACCUCUUUGAUAAAGAGGAUCAUGGGAGUUCAAGUCCCCCUAUUUCCAU
Molecule: transfer RNA, 73 nt
Filed under: Alsodes barrioi (Cabreria spiny-chest frog)
Lineage: Eukaryota; Metazoa; Chordata; Amphibia; Anura; Alsodidae
Description: tRNA-Ile
Rfam family: tRNA
About the family: Transfer RNA (tRNA) molecules are approximately 80 nucleotides in length. Their secondary structure includes four short double-helical elements and three loops (D, anti-codon, and T loops).
Source: RNAcentral